CAAAGUAUCUGGGCCGCUAAAGGCCUUCUGUAAAUAGGUUGUGGUUGGAAAGUGGGCAAUGGGCUCUCAAUCUCGGUCUGGGAUGAUGUUUGGCUUCCUAGGUAAACGCCCUGCAAGAUUUAAAUUGAUCGUGUUAAUGGGAUUGAAAAGGUGGUCGAUUUAAUUGAUAUGGAUCGAUGAAAGUGGAAGGGUGAGUUAGUAAGGGCUUUAUUUCCUGACCUGAUCGUGCGUUGCAUACUAAGUAUCUCGUUAACCGUUCAUGAUUUGGCAGAUCAUUGGUGAUGGUUCUUGGAGGACAAUAGGGAGUAAUUGGUCCGGAGCGAAUGUAAGUUGCUGUUACGAGGCUUCUCAAAGACAGAUGAUUAUUACAGAAAUAUAACACAAACCACGAGACUUAUUUACAAACAAAUAUAGGGGGCUCAAGUGCCCGAGAAAAUGAAAAUUACAUGCUAGUGUCAAAUAAGCAGUUUUCUCCCUAUAAAGGUUAAUUUAUUUCAGCGUAUACUCAGGUUAGAUCAAAUGUGCCCUCGCUAUGGUUGUGGUCCUGAAACCAUUCUUCAUGUCUGUUCGGAUUGUCCUAGUGUCUUGCAAAUUUGACACACAAUCUAGGCAUCAAUUGGGAUAAUAUUCCAGAUUCUGAAGAUACACAUAUCCACUGGGUUGGGCAACUAUCUGCUAAACAUAUGAGACAAGUGCAGCUUUUUAUUAUUACUGUAUGGACUAUUUAGACCUCCAGAAAUAAAAUCACCUAUGAGGGAUUUUAUCAAUCGGUUCGGUCUCUACUUAUCUUUGUAUUAGGCUAUCUGCGUGACUUGGAAUCUCUUCCAUCGGGCUCUGGAAACAUCGCGGCCACUGAGUCACUACUUUGGAGGCCUCCUGUUGAUCCUUGGGUCUGCGUCAAUUUUUGUGACGAGUUCUUUGAUAACCUGUAGGUUGCCAACACGGGAGUUGCUGUUAAAAAUUCUGAAGGGUUGCUAAUGGGGUUGGCUUAUUUUGAGUAGGAAGAUGUACCUUGCUUGUUGACAACCGAGGCCCUGGCAUGCAUGCGAGCUCUUGGAUUUGCCCGGGAUCUGGGGUUUCGGUGUGUUGAACUUAAAGGCGACUCAGUAGUGCUUAUCUCCAAGCUAAACAGCUAUGAUAUAGACAGAUAAAAAGUGAGCACCCUUGUCUAGGAUGCGAAACGACUUGUAAUGGUUUUUGAACGAUUCAAGUUUCAACACAUUAAAAGAUGAGGUAAUAUGGUGGCUCACCUAUUGGCCCGUUAAAGCUUUAUACGAAGGAGGGAUGUUUGUUGGGUGGUGGAAGGACCAACAUCGAUUUUGGUAGUGGUGGACAUAUAUAGGUGGGGAGGGGCUGAGUUUGUCGGAAAUUUCAGGAAUCGGGGGUGCUUGCUAGAUUUGAAUCCAUACUAGCAGUUUUUGAUGUGGCUUCAACUGUGAGCGUUGAUCAGUGGCAGGUUCACACGGCGUUGGAGCUUUUCUGGACAUGCAUCUCUAGCUAUGGAAGAUGAAUGGGUUUCUUCAGCUCUUUCUGCUUUGGUUUUUUCUUUUCUUUUUUAGUUUUGUUUUUCUUUGCUUCGUGGGAUAUGUUGCACAUUUUUUGGUGGAGUCCCCAAAGUUGUUGCUUUACUAUUUUGGCUAUUUCUAAUAAAUGCAUGCCGGUUCAUAUUGAAA
Molecule: long non-coding RNA, 1673 nt
Filed under: Gossypium barbadense (sea-island cotton)
Lineage: Eukaryota; Viridiplantae; Streptophyta; Magnoliopsida; Malvales; Malvaceae
Description: long non-coding RNA (GBAR_LNC021168)
Source: RNAcentral